Molecule: ribosomal RNA, 330 nt
Filed under: uncultured Bacillota bacterium
Lineage: Bacteria; Bacillati; Bacillota
Description: bacterial SSU rRNA
Rfam family: Bacterial small subunit ribosomal RNA
Source: RNAcentral
GACGAACGCUGGCGGCGUGCCUAACACAUGCAAGUCGAGCGGAGGAUGCGAGAUGUUUACAUCGGAGAUCCUUAGCGGCGGACGGGUGAGUAACACGUGGGUAACCUGCCUCAGAGUGGGGGAUAGCCUUUCGAAAGGAAGAUUAAUACCGCAUAAGCUUGUAGCAUCGCAUGGUGCAGCAAGAAAGGAGCAAUCCGCUCUGAGAUGGACCCGCGGCGCAUUAGCUAGUUGGUGAGGUAACGGCUCACCAAGGCCACGAUGCGUAGCCGACCUGAGAGGGUGAUCGGCCACAUUGGAACUGAGACACGGUCCAGACUCCUACGGGAGCUG